AACUCGGAAGUUAAGCCCUCCAGCGCCGAUGGUACUGCAUGGGAGACUGUGCGGGAGAGUAGGACGUUGCCGGGA
RNAcentral lists this ribosomal RNA (75 nucleotides) under Calditrichota bacterium. The record is from RNAcentral. Lineage: Bacteria; Pseudomonadati; Calditrichota.